AAGUCAUUUCACUUCUCUUGGGACCUCAAUUUCUCUAACUUCAAAAUGAAAAUAUCUUUCAUAAUUACUGUUGAUGAUCAUGAAGAUACUUUCUAAAUUGUAGCUUUCUAUAAAAUGCUAGUUAUAAUUUUGUUAUUUUCUUUUUACUGCCCUUUUAUAAAAUAAAAAUGACAAAUGGGGAAGAACAGGUGAGUCUUUGAUGUAUUCUUAUUUUCCACAAUCUCAAUAAUGUAGUUACCGUCUUGUCCUGUGAUAGUCAUUUUUAAAGGAAGUUCUGUUAACUCAUUUUAUUUUCUUUUUUGACAGUUCUUUCUGAAGCUCUCACAGCUAUUUUCCUUUCCAUUUCUUCAGUUUCUUUCAUUCAAGUGGGAAAUUCAUAAGGAUCAAAGAAAAUAUCAAACAUGUAAGAAUUAGAUGAUCAGCACAUUUCAAAGAUUUCUGCCUAUGUCACUAUCACGGGGAAGAUCCUGAGAAGUUAUUGUAAAGCUCAGCACAUUAUGGCAGUUAGAAGAAGUUUUGAACAAUGUCUUUGCUUCCUUUUCAUCCUUAAUUCAUAAACUGCA
RNAcentral lists this long non-coding RNA (563 nucleotides) under Capra hircus (goat). Its description in RNAcentral is "lncRNA (ENSCHIG00000002548.1)". The record is from RNAcentral. Lineage: Eukaryota; Metazoa; Chordata; Mammalia; Artiodactyla; Bovidae.